This is a long non-coding RNA of Brassica rapa (field mustard), 14048 nucleotides long. RefSeq lists it as uncharacterized. Lineage: Eukaryota; Viridiplantae; Streptophyta; Magnoliopsida; Brassicales; Brassicaceae. The record is from RefSeq and is a predicted model, not a curated record.
ACUUUAUGUCAAACUAAAUACUUACAAAUAUUUCACUUUUUCAUGGAAACUAUCACUCACAACCACACCUGGAUCGCGCUUCUACUUUGACAACGAUAUUGAUAUCAUACAACGCUUCCAUGAAGAGGAAUAAACUGCUAUCCUAAGCCUCAUAGCAAACGACACCAAUCAACUUUUUUAAAAUUUACUUUACAGCUUUCUACGUCAAUUAAAUAGGCACACUCAAAUACUAUUUUCUCUUACGAAUAUUAAAUUCAUCAACAUAAUUUAUUAUUCAAACUUACUUUAGUUUAUAAAAAAAAAAUGAUUACCGCUUCCAACAUCUUCGCAUUAUAAAAAACAAAACUUAACUAACACUUUCAGAAACUUCAAAACUCCCAAUUUUAAUUAAAAUGUUCUUUAAUUAAACAUGUAAUCCGCGCGAAGCGCGGACACGGGUUCUAGUCAGUAUAAAAACUUGAUCAACCACGUAAUGACUUGCGGUUGUGAUGUGGGUAUAAUGAAAUGCUACUUGUUUGAGAAAGUGGUAUUUUUGAAAUAUUUAUGGUACAAAAAUAAUUUAAUUGAUUAAUUAUGAACUUAAAGCAACAUGUUCGAAGAAAAAAGUAGUGGGUUAGGCUUUAUGAAAUAGGCACAACAUUUCAUUUGUCUGAAGUAAUAGCAUAGGUCGCAUCCAGAUCCGAAUCUGAGAUUUUGGGCGGGGAAAUUGAAAUUUUUUUAAAGAACUUUAAUGUAAAAAAAAUUCUUCAUGACUUCCGUUAUGACUGCGGGACAUUAUAGACAUUGGUCCUUGAAGUUUUCCCAAUUCUAAAGAUGAUAUCUCCUGUUGCAAUGGCAUGUUCUUCAUAAUUUUGGUUAUGGCUGUUGUAGUAUAUCUCAUGUUGUAUUGUCAUUUAAUGUGAGCAUUUAUAACGUGUGCCGGCUCUAACUUAAUAUCCCUUACUUAUUAAUCAAGAAGCAUUUUUAAGAAUAAACCUUACUUUAGUAGAUUAAUAACAAUUUUGCCAUUAUUGCUGACGUGGCAAAUUCACAGCCCUUUUCACCUAAUUAAACUAAUAAGCCUUUAAUUACUAGGAUAUUUACAACUAAUACCAUUGGUAGGUAUCAUACCUAUUAUACAUUUUUCAUAAUGUAAAUGACAGUACACGGAUCAAAUAAAACGACAAUAACCGGUUGAUACUCUUUAAGCUUUUUUAACCGGUUAUCUCCGGUAAAAAGUUGUAUAGAAUAAUUCUGCUUGAGAUGUUUUACACUUUAAUCCAACCCAUUGAAAAACCUUGAUUUCUUCAUAGUCACCUACAAAAUAAACAAAAACGUAAUGGAUCUUAUAAACUGGACAAAUGACAUUUUUUCCUGCACAACCCCGUUGCUAUUAACUAAUAUGAGGUCCUACAUGAUCUGCUAAAGAGUUUAUUUCGUUCUAAAAGAUAUUGUCAUGAACAAAAUUCAAGCAGAACACUAUAUAGUAAUUACGUUUGUUGAUGAUAAUAUUUCCUUCUGAUCAUAACAAUUAGACCAUUAUAUCAAGAUAAACUAAUCAAUUUAUCCGUACCAAAGACACUUAUUCCAUUGUACAAGCAUGUUUUUUUUUUUUGAACUGCAUUGUACAAGCAUGUUGUGAAGUACAAAACUCGCGAAUUCAACUUUUUAGCAGAUCUACCAUCAACUCAAUUAGCUUACUACCAUUGAUCGUAAUUUCGUUUAAGAUGACAUAAAACUGCUUAAUUCGUGAAACUAUUCUGCAAUGAAAUCUCAUAUAUUGCAAUUUUCUAAAACACGUUUCAUGUGUUAAUGUAUUUUUAUUUUUAAGUUGUAUUGUGCAACAUGAUAAACAUUUUGAAGUUUCGUAUAUAUAAUGAGCUUAUCGAGUGACUUUAUUAAAACAAUAGUUUUCUAUUUUCAGCAUUCAUAUUUCACAUAUGAUAAUUAAAGUCGUGAUGCACAAUAAAAUGAUACUUGAUUUAUCCCAUUUGCAUUUAUAUUUGACAUAUAGGAGAUUUCAUGGUUCACAAUAAAACUUUAACUAAACUAUCGCUCCCCAAAUUUAAGUUGCCAUAAUUCCAAAAACUAUAUAUCUCUAUAUACAUACCGUACAAUUAUAUGUCUGAUUUUGUGUUAUGCAAUGCAAAUCUCUACCUAUAAUUUGGGAGCUAAUUACAUUUAUUGUGUGCAAUAAUUUGUUUCCUUAAUCUUCAGAAUUCUUAUAUAAUAAAGUUGACUUGCCUCUCUCCUCCUGCGUCCACGUCAGCACAGAGGAUGGGGCGUUUUUGGAUACCUGGCGGCUCGGAAGUGGACCGGUGUUUCUCACGCUCUCUCUUGCUUCUUGCGCGUCGCGGUGAUUACGUAUGCGUGUAUCCAACCCUUUCGUUUUGAUUUUUCUUGCCUCUGCAAAACUUGAACGUCGUCCAUUACAAAUCAAAGGCAUCACCCACUUCUUCCAUUAAUUAAUUAUAUAUUCUCCUCUUAUAAGUUUGUAAUCGAUUUAGAGAUAGAACUGUUUUUAGAAAAAGCUAUACGAAUGGUUAAGGGAUUUGGUUUUUACGAUCCCGAAUAAUCUGAGAGGAAUUUUUAACUACGAUGGCGACUAACCCGGAGGUAGAGGAUUGUCUGGAGAUGGAAGUACUUGGGUAGAGAGGACGCUGGAGGAAGUAGUAUUGGUGAUGAAGCUAGCUUGCAUCAAUGAAGUAGCAGACAGAGAUGAUUGCGGUCGCACGUGUGUUGUUGAUCAUAACAUGAGAGGUAGGUAUUUCCGUGAGUGGGUGAUUGAAUGAUUAUGAUGGUAGGUUAUUUUAUUUAAAGUAAAUUGUCGAGAGUAAUACUGAACAGCUUUUGCAAUGUCUCCACCUGCUAAAAAAGUCUUCAAAAGCAGAGGAAAAAAGAUCUAAUGCUCAGUAGUUCAAGUGUUUGAGAGCUGGUUAUUGACUCCAAUUUUUUUUUGUUUUUACAAUUAUUAUGCUUGCUAUCUUUGAAUCUUCAUUAUCGUCCUCAGUGUUCUAUUCCUCAAUUUUUGACCAGCUGUGGAUUUUAUUGACAUAGACUGAAGUCUUGAGAAGUUGUUCCCAUUGUAAAAAGGGAUGAUUUUUUAAUAAUAUGUAAGAUUCCAUUGUUACCUGCAGACAAGGACAUGGAAAAGGAUACGUCAACUUUAAGUCAAUACAGAUGAUGAUCCAAUGGAUUUUGGGUUUAGCUCACCAGCAAAUAAAGAUAAGAAGAAGAAUUCGUUUAAGCUGUGAGUGUAACAUACAUCACAUGCUUCUUAGACCAUGUAUACGCCUAAUCUCAUGCAGUUCAAUCAUGGAUUUUUUUCUCCUUCAUUAUGCUUCUUAGAUUACUUCUCUAAGAUAUAGUUGCUUGACAAAAAGGCCUAAUGUCUCAUACAAACAUUUGACUAACCACCCCUAAUCAAUCAGGUUUCAUCUAUUUCUCUCCCUCUCUCUAUUAUGUAUCUUCCCUCACUAUUUCUAACCAGUUUUAUGAUACCUUCAUUGGAGCUGACUGGUAGAUGUGUAGUUGCAGAGUUGCAGGAAGCGGGUAAAGUUUAUUCUGCUCAGAUGCUUAGUACACUCACAAGAGCUUCCCAUCCUGUUCUCGCUACAUUACCUUGCUAUAAAAUUGAUAUGGUAAGAGCUUAAUGAUGUAUAGAAUGUGAUUAUUAUUUUUUAAGUUGAAGACAUGGUUUAUGUAUGGUGUGUUUAUGAAAUUCAUAUGUAUAACAGAGAUGAUGAGCUUUCUGUAUUGAAUUUGGGAAAGUGGGGGUCAUCUUUUGAUAUCCCAGAACUGGAUGUUGUAAAUUGUAUAUCGAAUUAAUUUGCUUUAAUUUGAGUUGUUAGAUGUGACCACGAGGAGGCAAAUUCAGCAGACAAGUGUUUGUCAGGGUAUUUGGAACCAAACGUUACAUGCAUUUCUUUCACGAUUCUCAGGACAGUGACUUGAAAAUGCUUCAGAAGGUUAGUUUGAUGAGCUUUUUUUAUUUAUUCGGAGGAUAUGAUAUAGAUAUAUUCGGUGAGUGUUUGAGGAGUCUAAAUUUCUGAGUUUCGUAUGAAUGUGAAAAAUAUAAUCGAGCUUUGAUUUUAAUGAGACUGUGGAGUUUAUAUACUAUUAGUGUUGGUUAUUGUUGUGGAGUUUCUAAUAUAUCACUUCUUUUGUGACUUGAAACUUGAUACCCCAGAAAACAGAGGUGUUCUUUCUUCUUCUUGAAGGUAAAAACAUAAUCCAAACUGAAGAGAAGUAUCAGAAGAGCAAGGGUUGCAAGAUAAGCCAUUCUUUCGCUUCUAUUAAGAGAAACCAUGUCGUCUGAAAAUGACAAAAACAUCUACCAAAGCCUCUUUAGUUUGCUCUGACUCUCCAUCGACAAUAUAUGAACUCAUGCUGUCUCUCAGUUCUGACUCAUGUCUAACUCCCCUACCACAAAUUCUUACACAACAAUAGACAAGAAUAGCUCAAACUUUAUCUGAUCACCGGACAUACAGGUUUGAUUAAUGGACUACGCCCUACAUACUACGGCUUCACAUCACGAGGCUCUGCAAUAGUUCCAAGUUUAUGAAGACAACUUCAAACUCCCCAUUGAGAUCUCAAAAAUAUUCAUGCACUCCAAACAGAGUGAGAACUAAGUGAAUAUACAAUUUAUACAAACGUCAUCCCCAGUCCAUUACCAACCAACGAUUCUGAUUCUCCACAAAUACUCACCGACAUCUUCCAAAACAGGCGAUCCAAUGGGCGAAAGGUAUGAGAGAAUAGAGAUAUCACAUCUUUCAUCACGGCCGCAGAGAAAGACAUGAGCAAGAAGCUCCAAGAGAAAGAUCAGGAGAUGAUGACCAGUGGUUAGAAGUGUUAAGAACAAUUCAUAGGAGGCUAUAGGCAUCCAUUAGUUUGGUGUAUGCUGUAGGAGGCUGAUUUAUUUAGCAUGAUCCAUGAAUAACGACUUGCACAGUAUCUGAAACAAUGAUUGUAAAUUUUAGAAACUUAGAAUCAAUAUAAUAAUGAUUUAUAUUAUUUUCUUGGGCAUUUUGAAUAACAAUUAAAAUGUACUAAUAUAUAUCCAGGAAGAGCAAGAAGUACUCAUUGAGCAACUUCGGAAGAAAAUGGCUUAAAGCAAAAUGAAUAUUUAUGUUUCGUGUUUAUCAGAAAGAAAUAGAUCCUUAAAUACACAACAACCGAAAGCAUGAAUCGCUCUUAAGUUAUACUUUCAUCAUUUGUUUCAUAUUUUCAAAUUAUACUAUCAAGUUAGAAUAAGUUUAUUUCUAAGAGAUUGAAACAAAAUCCCUACUUAGAAUUGGUACUUGGUCAAAUUUUUUUAACCGUAAGCUUCAUUUCUCUCUCACAUGUGUUUUAUAAAUCAUUUAACUUCAAACCUACAUACACCAGAUCGAAUUUUAUUUUCCCUUUAUGAGCUGGAUCCAACCUGUUGUUUGAUGUGUGACAAGAAACAUAAGACUUUGGAGACCUGUAUGGUUCACAUGCAUAAGCACAAUGGUUUUUUUGUUCCAGAGGUUGAGUAUCUAAUCUAGAAGGGCUUCUCACUUGCCUCGGUCUUAAGGUCAAGAGAGACUUCAUGUGUCUCUACUGCAGUGAGCUGUGCCAUGCAUUCAGCAGCUUAGAAGCUGUAAGAAAGCAUAUGGAAGCAAAGAGUCAUUGCAAAUUGCAUUAUGGUGAUUUUGAGGAAGAUGCUUUGUUGCAUGUUUCCUUUUAUAAAAAAAAAUGUCAUUUUUUACUUCACUUUUUAAAGACAAAUCUGAAUUUACAUUUCUUCUAUCAUGAAUAUUUUUUAAAAGUUAAUUUGUUGUUUGCUACUUUUGAAAUUCAUUAAUUCUCCCUCAUGUACUAACUCCUACCAUCAACUUUCCGUUUAGGAUAAACCAAUAAACUUCAAAAAGAAAAAAAAAUUCCCCUAUACAUACGAACCAUAAACCAAUAAAAUGCAUCGCCUGCCAAAACUUUUAACAUUUUCACUCAGCAUGAGUCAAAAAUGCAUUCACAUACCUUUGAAAGUUAAGGACUCCAGGCCUGAGAUCUCUUAACAUGCACUCAGAAAAUCCAUUAUUAGGUAAUGACUCUCGAUUCUUAAUUGUCAAGAACUAAUAAUUCUAUGUUGAUUGGACUAACAAAUACCAAAUGAAAAAUAAAACUAAUUGAAUUCAAAAAAGAAAAUAACGUCUGAACCCAGCGCGUAGCGCCGGAAUACCCCUAGUGAGUUAAUAAAAGUUAAAAAAACGGAUUCACUAUAUAAAUAUUCCAAUAUUCUGCAAUGUUUGUAUACAUUGAAAUAUAUUCCAAUAAGUUUGCAUAUAUUUUUUAUUGGUUAUCGGCGUGGCCCUUAUGGUCAUUUGGCAACUCAGAAUGGUCACAGUCGGGGUAAAGAGUGUUUGGAUUCGCAAAACGAUGGUAAAUUGAUCUGAGGAUGGAAGAUCAUAAGAGACGAACAUAAGACUUGCUUUUUAGGUUUCAGAAGGAUUGCAGAGUCUGGUGAGCUGUUGGAAUAUUUCUUUCCACGUUUUUGAAGAGUCUGAUUUGUCUCCUUUUAUAUGCACUAUGCAGAGUCAGUUUGAUUUUUCAAGUUCUAGCAAGGAUCAAAAACUAUUAAAGCUGUUGAGAAUAUACAUAGCAAGCACUACACCUUGAUCUUUGGGUGACCUUGUUGCUUAUAAGUUACUUAAAUCUGUUGAUUAUAAUAUGGUAUUGAUCGAUAAAGACAUUUUUUAAUUUGCCUAUAAAUUAUUUUCUUAGUUGUCCAUCACUCAAUAUUUGGCACUAUAACUUCCUAAGGUCAAGUUGUUAGAUAACGAUUUCAGAGAUAUCAAAUCAAAUGAAACUAGGUUAAGACCCACUCCUUGCGCGGGAUAAACAUUAUAUAUAUAAAGUAUUUUAUAUAUUAUAUGUUGGUAUUGUCAUGUAAGCAGACCAUUAACUACAUUUUGUGUACAUCGCACAAACCAUUUAAGCCAACCAACAUAUCCUGCUAAGACAUUUGCAACAUUUAAAAACUUGAAGAUAUCGUGUGGAGCUGUGCAUUUUAGAUGGUACAGAGUCUGCAGUGUUUGUUGUUUUCUAUGCCGAAAUUUCAUGGUUGACUAAUGUGCGUGCGGCGGAAAUCAGUGAACUUAUGGGUGUUGGUGUGGGAGACUGUAAGGGCCGAGGUUCCACAAUUUCUGCAAAAUAUUGUUGGCAGAACGUUCACUUUCCAGUUGGAGCUAACUGAGUUAGCAUCAGACCUUCACUGUUACAUGUAUCUUUGACCGCAUCAGCGUCCCCUCACAGCAACAUUUGCGAUUCAGGAUGGGCACAACUAUCCUGAUGACGAUUUGCAUGGUGACGAUAUAAGUUUCCUGAAAUUGCUUAGACGUGACAAGACAAGUGCCACUGACCAGAACAUUUGACGUAAUGACCUCCACAUGAAACCCAGGGGUCCAUCUGCAGCAGAACAGCAAGAUAUGAGCCCAAUUCUGGCAGGAUCAUUGCAGAGGAACAACAGCUUCCAGGAGCUGGUUGCCCACUCAAGAAGGCUCGCACAGUGUAGUUACUCAAGUGAUCUACCUUAUAACCCUUCUAUUUCUUACAAGCUUAAGUUCACAUUAUAUUUUUUUUUGUCGCAGGAGCUGUUAUAAAGUUACAAAAAUUACUUUGCAAAAAGUUAUUAUUACAGUUUAGUCUGAAAAUGUUUAGUUGGAUACAUAUGAACUUACUAUAUUUUCAAAAACAUAAAUUUAUAUAUUUACAUUGGGUGGUUUGUAAAUCAGUUACUUUUUUGUCAACAAAAUGAUAAAAGCGUGAUUUUAGUUAAGACUAAAAUCACGCGUUUAUCAUUUUGUUGAAAAAAAUAUAACUGAUUUGCAAAUGAAAAUAAUUAAAUCUUCAUCAUAUUGUUAGAAAAUAAGUUCAAAAUUAUAAAUAUUAAACGUAACAAAAGUUAAAAUUUGUUAUAUAACCUAUUAUGAGAUAUGGUAGAUGUUUAAUAAAUCUUUACCUCUUGUUAUUAUCGUUUGUGUAGGUUAGAUUUACAAAAGAUUCUUUGGUUGAUACUUGAUAGUAAUUCUAACAAUAUUAAGUUAGUCAUCUAAAGUUCAUCGUGGUUCUAAAGUAAUUGUUUCUGUUUUUUCUUGUUAGCAUAUUUUAGGAAACGAUUUGGUUAUUUUAGAUGAUAUUGUUAGAGCUUUAAAAACUAUAAGAAGAUGAAAUAAAAAUCACUUUUUUUUUAAUUUUGUUAGCGUAACGUUUGAAAAUUUAUUGUUUGUUCUAGUUAAGAUUGUUAGAAUCUAAGUUUGAAAAAAGUUAAACGAUUCGUCAUUAAAACGCUGUAUAAAUACCGUAUAAACCAUAACCAUAUUAUUCUGCUGUUACCAAAAAACAUUACAGUGUACUACUGAACAGCGUAUAUACGGGUGUACCAACCGUAUUUUAGAACACUGGAUUUUUCUAAUAUGCAUGAAUGAUAAAUGUUUAUGCAUCUGUUUACAUUUCAUAUUGCAUGGAACCAAAAUAUUUAUUUUUUAUUCAUGACGAAGAGAAGUCAUGGAGAAGAAGAAGCAAAUGUCUAUAUAUCAGAUUAUUUCUAAUGAGGACCCAACUUUCAUAGAUUUAAACAUGAGACAAUGAGGAGAGAAAAAAACAAAUGAAAUGUGUGUAUACAUAUUGUGAAAAUGUUUGUAUUAAUUAUAAUAUACCGUAAAGGAUUAGACACAGUUGUAUUAAUGAACUUUGACAGAUUCAAAUAUAAUGUAUUCAUGCUUGAACUUAUAAAGGUGAAGGUUCAAAUAUAUUAAUAAAACUACGUUAGCGUAUUUUGAUGUUAGUGUAUUAUGGGUAGUCGACAGAAUCUUUUUAGUUAGAGGGGAAAGAUAUUUUGUAAUGUUAAUCUAAUAGUAAUGAAUGUUAUAUUAUUUUCUAGUGACAAUUGAAUAGAUCCAAAUUUAAAUGAUAACAUUUUUAAGCAGAUAAAAAGUAGGACUUUAUUUUAAUAGAUUAGAUUACUCGUAGAUCUUUGUUACGUCCGAUUAAUUUUGGUGGAAAUUGAAAAUCAAGAUAUCGUUGAGCACAUUGCGUAAUUAGACGCUUGGCCUUUUUAUUAAUUUUGUUUGGGUAGUACUAAUAUUUAAUAUAAUUUUCUUGGGUUAUGAGUAUUUAGGUUUUAUAAAUUAAUAUGGGCUUCUGCUGUGUGACUUAGAGUCUGAAUUAUAAUUGCUAUAUUUUAAACAGUUAUGGAGGGGAUUAUAUGAUGCUUCCUAUAUGUCGUCACACAAUUGUUUUUGAGAAAUGGCUUGUUUAUUAAAGGAUUCCUCAAAAGAAUGGCGUCAGAAUUGAUAUCGUAUGUCAUGAUUAUUGAUUAACGUAAUAACCCGCAUAGUGUUAACUAUAAUGUUGGAGGAUGGGCCGUCGGCCCAUUCGCGAGUUGGGUAUUAAAAGACAAGUCCAGCAAAGCCCAAUCAGGGAAGAGACGUCCGCGGCGCGCGCAGGGAAACAGGGACCUAGGACGCGUAGUCUGUACCUACCGCCGAUCGUAGAUAAGGAACCUAUGCAAGCAAUAGGGAAAUGAUGAAGGGCCAAACCAACUAUCUGACACACAACCACUAUGAAGCGGAUAAAGCGCGCCUAAAACGAGUAUAAAUAAAGAAGAGCAUUGAAUGAGAAGGAGGCAGCGAAAUAGAGAAAGAAAGACUAGAGAGAUAAAGUAGAGAUAAUCUCGAGUUCAUCUUUAAGACUACGAGUUCUUCUUUUAUAUCUUUUACUUCGGCUUUUUGUAAACACUUCAUUAAACGAAACCUUUGUCACCAUUAAUCAUACUUAUAUUCAACAUAUAAUGAUAGUAUUAUUUAUUUUUCCUUUUGGUCAUAAUUAAAUUUGUGAGUGCUAGCUUUUUUAUUGUGAUUAAAACUGGACGGAUGAUGAGUUAAUUAUUAAAUGUUUUAUCAUAGUACGCAUAGGCCUACUUACACACAUCAUCAUUGUUCUUUCUUUAUGUCAGCAUGAUUUUUAACGUUAUCUUAAAUGUCAAACACUAGGGUAAAAUCCACCUUACGGGCGGAUAUGCAAGUGAAAAGCAAUAUACAAAUAUCUUAAAUUCUGAGACAUAUUUAGAAUAUUUAGUUUACUCUUAAAGUAAUGUUAACAUUCACAAAUUAUUUUGAUACCUUUUUACAAAUCAUAGACUUAAAAAGAAAUUUUACUUUUAAUCAUGUAACUAUUUUAUAAUUAUAAUAUAAUAAAUAAACAAAAUUAUUCGAAAUUAUGAUUGAAUUUCAGCACAUAAAAUAUUAAUUAUUCUUUUCUUAUACAUUUUCUUUCGAAUUUACUGUUAAUAUACUUUAAAAAAAAAUCUAUUGAUUUUACUAUUAUGAGAGAGAACCUUAACUAUAAUAUGCUUUAUUGUGAGUAGUGCAGAGAAUUGAUUUUUUUUGUUUAAAAUUUAUUAUAUAUUUUUAAAUAAUAAUUGCUUAUAUAUUAUGUAUGAAUCAUUAUUUUUGUUGAUCUUUUAUAUUUUACGAUAAAAAAUUUUGAGGUCAUGAUAUCCAACCUAAAUUUCAUUGCGUUAGUUAUAGGAAUCGAUAUUUUAUAUGAUUAUAACUGGGCUAUGUUCUACUCUAAAUUGACAGUGUAUAUCUUCUUUUAUUUCUGUUUAUAUGUUUUUGUCAAGUUGUUUAGUUGAUACUCAUAGUAUAAUAUGCUUUUCUAAAAAAAUACCAUUCUUUAUGUUUUAUGAAAGUAGUAAAAAUAGAUACAUGUAAUAAGUAGUGAGUUUGUAGAUUUAUAGCCUUCUCUAACAUGUUCUCAAAACUUUUUUCUUCGGUGAGAUUAUAGUCUGUUUUUAGAAUUUAAUUUGGUUGAUGUCUAUACAUUUUCAUGAAAAUAAUCAAUGUUCAUAUUGUUUUUGGUAAAUAGUUUUUCUAAAUUUACAAUUUUUCCAAUUCAAAUAUACCAUAAAUGACUAUUUCCUGAAUUUAUUAACAAAUGAGUGAUUACAUACAAUUAUUUAAAUAGUAUUUUUAUUUUUUAUAUAUUAUUGAUAAAUCAGAUAAUUUUAAUAGUAUCUAGAAUAUACUAUUCAAUUUUAAUUUUUUUAACUUUUUAGGUUGGAUAUAAAAUAAUAAUAUACGUUUCUGAUAUUUGAUAUGGGAAUAAUAAUAAGAAUUUAUCUACAAAGUUUGGUGUAACUAAACUUUUUUUUGUUUGAGUAUUGAACUAUUUUAUUACCUUAUUACAAAGUAAUGGUUCAAUAGAUUGAUCUAAAGAAUUGUUGUGUAACAUAUAAUGUCAGAAAAAAUAAAAUAUAAACAUAAAAAAUAGUAUCUUCUCCGGAGUAUUAUGAUCUUCAAGUAAAAUAUUAGAUGUUGUUUUUUUUAUAUCUUCAAAGUAUCAUUCGAUGAGUUGAGUACAUUCUUUCCAUUAGAAGAAACCUGUGAUCUAGGUCAGUGAUCUCACAUGACUUGGUUGGUCAAGAUGUCCUCCAGACCCUCCAUUGGGGGCUUGAAUAUAGGCAGGCGAGUCUCCCCUGAACAUGGAGUCAAGUAACCUUACAUACCAUCACUGCAAGCAGUUCCAAGAACAUUUGGGGAGACUUUAAGAGUUGCAAGUAUAAAAUCAAACUUACCAGCUAACUUAAUACUCAUCCACUAUGAAGUAAAAGAAUAUGAUAAAGUUUUGUUUCUUUUAAAUUCUGAACGUUAGCUCCUGUCUGACGGUGCUAUGAAGAGCAUGUCACAAAAACUGCCGGCUAUACACUUCUUUUCAUCCUGCAGAAAUAAAGAAAAACACUUGAAAGACAAUCAUUUAAGAAAACAAAGCCUGAUCUAAAGGUAAUUACUAAAACAUUAGAGUGACGUGUUGGCACCUUUAUAUCUCAUUCCACUAACACAUACGAUGAAAAAAGUGAACAACGACAAUCUCUUCCACUUCUUCUCUUUAUUUUUUUUUUCUCUUUUCAAUGAGAGUACACACAGAAUGAAGGUUUGCUAGACUUCUUAUUCAAGUGCUGUGAAUAGAAGAAAGAUGCAGUUUUAUCCUGGGACUCUAAUCGCUAUACAACCGUCACACUACGGGGCCUUUUUUGAGUUAAGGAAAGAGAUUCCUAAGUCUCGACUCUGCAAAAACUCAUUGUCCAUUUCGAUUAAUCCAUGGUAUUUCUGGAUUUAUUCAAUGUUUUUAUAAUCUAUCUCACAAUUAUUCAGAUUGUGUCCCUUUGUAAUUUAAGGUCCUACAUAUUCAACAACCUUUAAAAAACAAAAGAGAAACCAUUUUUUCAGAACGUGAGGAAGUAGAUCGGUAUUUGCAAGUUGCCGUCGGCAAGCUUUCAAGUAGGCAAGGAGAAGGUUCGUAUUGGCCAUCUUGGUGUUCUUGCGUCAAAGAGAAUGUGAAGAUUGAUUUGUUGGAAGCGAUGCAUUUCAUGGAAUAAGAAAACCUUAUUUAUAGAUCAAGUUUUCAUGCGUUUUUUAAUCAAUAAAUAAGGUUUUUAAAUGUGCGAGAGUGGGAAAAAUGGGGUAAAGACUUAAAUGCAUUAUUUUUAAGGCGGUAAAUAUGUUCCAUAUGGGCUUGUGACGUAUGGACCUGUUAUUUGGUUUAGUUAUUAUAGAAAUCCAUUAUUAGAGAUAUCAACAAAACAUAAAAGAGAUUUCGGCUUGCCACGUCGUGCCCAAGACACUUCAAACAAAGCCCAUUCGAUUUCAUAUUGCGUAAUGACUAAAGCCCCUCAAUUUUCCAAAUAAAUGAAAUGAUGCAUUUUGCAAGGCGGGACACGUGUCACGACCAGAACACUCGACUUAUUGACAUGGCGCUGACAUGGCAUCACAGGAGAGAGGCAAACAUAUUUUUAUAUAUAGAGAUAUUAUGGAAAUCCAUUAUUAGAGAUAUCAACGAAACAUAAAAGAGAUUUCGACUUGCCACGUCGUGCCCAAGACACUUCAAACAAAGCCCAUUCGAUUUCAUAUUGCGUAAUGACUAAAGCCCCUCAAUUUUCCAAAUAAAUGAAAUGAUGCGUUUUGCAAGGCGGGACACGUGUCACGACCAGAACACUCGACUUAUUGACAUGGCGCUGAAGUGGCAUCACAUGAGAGAUGCAAACAUAUUUUUAUAUAUAUAGAUAGAUAUAUAGAUAGAUAUAUAUAGAUAUAGAUUCUUUUUAAAGUGGAUGCAUAACAAUUCUUAAGUGAUAAAUUACGAGUUCUUAAAAAAUUUUAUAGUACAUGUAGGAUUAAAAUCCUAAUUAACACUCGCCUUAGACAUAAUAGAAAAUUCCCAUGAAAUGCAACCCCAUGAACUGCAAUUGUUGUCAUGACUAGGUUUACUACGUUAACCGACACAAAUCCGAUCAUAUAAAUUAGAGGCCACAAAAACAGCCCAACUACAAAAAAACUCAUGUUAUUUCCACCAAUGUAUUCACUCAGCCACUCUUAAUUAAAAAAUAUAGUCCAAGUACAAAAACUCAAAAGACAAUUCAAGAACAUCAUCUUCAUUUUUAACUGCCCAUCCAGUGGCUUUGCACAAACAAAUAACUACAACUUUAGUUGCAAACAAACUCCUAAAGUUGGAUUAGCAUAUUAGCAAUCAUAUAUGAUAUCAUAUACUCCUAACGAAAGACAGUUAACGUGAUAACAAAGUCCAAUAAAAACUAUAUAUUCGACUUAUAUUCUAUAUGAUAACAAAGUCCAGUAAAAAUUCUAAAAAUAAAUAAUUUUGUAACUAUAUAAUUUUAUAACUUUGUAGAGUUAUUAAUUAAAAUUUUUUUAUCACAAUUCUUUAUUUUUAAAAUUAAUUUUGGGUAAAAUAAGAAAAUAAUUUAAUUAUUGUUUGUAUAAUUGUUAAAUUUUAUAUCCGAAUUUUAUAUCUUUUUUUACACUAUUUGAUUUAUAUACUAACAACUACCUAAAUUAACACUUUCCAAUCCCGUAAACCUCAGCUUUUUAACAUGAAAGCGCUAAUAACGCUAAUGGUCAGUCAAAUCAUUACAAAGAUAAGAUAUAAAAAAUAUCAACACAUAUGAAUUUGCCGGUCAUUCUUAUAUCAACCUAAUCAACCUGUGUGACUUCCAAUGUUCCAUUUAUCACCAUUACAGACAACACAGAAAA